This is a non-coding RNA of Ictidomys tridecemlineatus (thirteen-lined ground squirrel), 6079 nucleotides long. The record is from RefSeq and is a predicted model, not a curated record. Lineage: Eukaryota; Metazoa; Chordata; Mammalia; Rodentia; Sciuridae.
CCUUCUCUGCCUCCGCACUGCCGUGUGUGCAGCUGCUCUGCCAGGCUCCUAUCCCGGGCAGCACGCGCGGAAGUAUACGCCGAGUCGUGCCACAACGCAACUUGCUUAUUGCUCCAGGUUUCUGAUUGGUCCAGUUGCCCCCAUUGAGUCCGCCCAGAAGAGGCUGCGUGAUACGAUUGGCUACGAGCUUGUGUCACUCUGAAGAGCUCAAUGGAGUCCCGUUUCAAGUUUAAAAAACAGGAAAAGCUGUAGAGAAAACUGACACCAAUGUGAGUUUAGACCCUGGCAACCCGGUAAGAAAAUAAGGCAGGAAUUAGCACCAUGGACAGAGACCAGCAGACCCUGCCUGCAUAAAAGUUUACUAAGCCUGGUACAGUGUUUUCUGUCCCUUCUUGUGAAACACAGAAACAGCAUUUCUUGGCUUCACUGCAUUUUGAGGAAGACACCCUCCUACUCUGUAGAAACACGGACUUUGUUUUGACUUUGUUAGGACUGGGCCAUAUGACCAACCACCGCCGGGAGAGUUGGAGCCCCGAAUUCACAGGGCACCUGCUACUGUCAUCCUCUUUUACAUACAUUUCGCUUGCCUGGAUGAGCAUGGCUUUCAUCAAAGUGCUCACACAAAAUAAAUGCAAAUCCAGGUAGUCUUCGAAAAGUCUGAUAAACCUCCAGAGUUUUAUAUCCUCGAAAUUACCAAUGGGAAAGGAUGCAAGACCGCCUGCCGGAUCACACUUGUUCCCCUCCCCCAGUAUUAUCUGAAUUCUUUUCAUCCGCCAGGCAAAGGGGCAAAGUCCUUUUCAUCCAAAGAUGGUUUGCCUGCAGAUAUUCAGACUAAGAUCUGUUGCACGUGCCCCAGACGUCUCUGAAAAUAUAUUUGCAGCCUCGGAUAGAUGACCAUUUACGUAAAAGCUCCUAUGAAUGUCCUCGGAUUUUCCUCACCUCUUUUAUUCAGUAUCAGCUUUUAGGAGGAAAAACACACGUCUCUGCUAGCAUGCAAAGGGGCAUCUAGGCAACCCAGAGAGGGUGAAGAAAAGCUGGAGGUGGGAAAGGGCAAAUCAAAGCUGUGUGUCCGGUUCUUUGGUUAAGUGUUAAGAGCCCUCUCUAAGCUUCCUCUCGAAGCCAAUACAUCUCAUGCAAAAUUAAUACAAGUAAUUAAAAAUAGCAGUUUCCAAAGUUAAAGGAAACCAUCUGUCUCAGCUGGUAGCAAUCAGUCUUUUCGCGGGUCCCUUUACCGGGACCUGGAAAGAAACGGUUUUUCUGCUUCCGAUGCUCCGAGGCUCGCUCUUAUAUUGAAGAUUUAUGUUUCCACUUGUGUGCGAUGCACGUCUAAUUUGAAAUAAUAAAGCCGGGCUGAGCAACCAGUCAAUCAGAGCUAUCAACUGCGCCCGGCACACCGCCCUGCCCCCAACAUCCCUCAGGUCUCUAACUCUUCCUCUCCCCACCCCCUCCCUCAUUCUGCCUCUCCAUCCUCUUUCCUCCCUCCUCUGUUCUCACACACACUCACACUUUGCCCCCCACGUGUGUUCAGAUCAAACCCUUGCCCCACAGAGCAAGUGACAGCACCGGGGCACGGUGACAAAGGCAGAGUUUGUAUCAGAAGAAGACUGAGGCCCGGGGAGACACCGCGGCUAGAGAAACAGCUGUCUUAUCAGCCUGCUGCAGAGAUGGAGAUGGCUCGAGAGGUCCUCAACAGAUAAUCACUUGAAUAGGUUUGCAAUGCGCCAAACUUCACGCUUGAUAAGGCCAACCCAAUGUAGAGAGCAGCCCAGAUCCUGCUCCAUUCUGUUUUAUCUGGGCUGUAAAUUAAGAAAUUGAAAUUCAGGUGGCAGAGGCAGCAGUCUGCUGAUAGACCGCUAAAGUAAACUGUCAUUAAAAUGCUUUCAGCAAGCAGAGAGGGGGCGCCUGGAAGGGGAUAUUGUUUGUUUGUUUGUUGGUUGUUUAUAUGGGAGUAAAAACAGUGAGAGGAAAGAGCCCACGGAGUUAAAAAUUAUUUGGGGAGGGAAAGCUACAAGGAGUAGAAAAGGACACGGCAUAUGGCCAGGAUUCCUAAUCAUGACUACCAUGAAUAAACAAUUUCAAAAAAUAAACUUUGAAAUUGUUUGAAGGUUGGCAUUAUAGAGAUGAAGAAACGAUUUUAACCAAUGUGGCAUAAAAGGGAAUAUUAUCUUUAUCAGAGUGGGGCAGUCCAAGUGGAUCCCAAAGGGACAUCCAAAGUUUUCCUUCCAUUUUAAGAAAAGCAAAUCAACAGGGUACAGGAGUUUUCAAAACCAAAGUUAAUCUGGCCUAUUUGUUGAAGUGACUGGGUCUCAGGAGGGGUUCAGGGUGAUUUUUAGAAUAGCAUAAGUGGCUAACUUCAAAAGAGUCUACUUAGCUACUUAUAGUAAAAACAGUUAUAUUUCAACUCUCUCUCCCCUUUACCCAGGUCAUUAUAAUAGGGUAAGUAAGGAACCCCUCAAAUCCAAGUAUGUUUCCUGACACCACCUGAUUCAUAUAGCAUGUUUUAUAUCCACCAUCCUCUACUGCUUUUAUAAACAUGAGGUUUGAAAUAUUUUAUGCAAUAUUUGAAUAAAUGUUAACCCCCAAAUUUAAAAUGUAAAAUUACCAGCAGAUAGCCAGUGAUGUUGUCAUCUUGAUUUACUAGUGACCCAGUACUGUACCUUGUUCUUUGCAUUUAAGUGGAUUGAUUGUUCAUUUGUGCUUGUUUGUGAUGUGUAUGAGAGGAUGUAUUACAUUUUACACAGCAUUUCUAUUUGGUCUUAGGAACAUUUAUACAAAGGUACCUUCAGCUAGCAACACAGUUAAUACAGUUUUUUUAAAAAAUCAAUCAAUUUUUAUUUUGUUUAACCCCAAAACUUAAAUUAAUGUUAGAAUACACAUAACUGUUGCUUUAUAGUGAUUUAAAUGACUUUCAGGUAUGGAAAAAAAUUAAAGAUAAAUUUGUUGGAAGAAGUGGUGAAAACAAUUUAAUUCUAUUUCAUGUUUCAGUAAUUGUUAAACUAUUUUGAUAUAUUAAAAAUAAUCUUAAAUUCUGAAAUCAUUUGAUCAAUCAUAAGGUGGGAAGCAAAUAAAUAUGUCAUUAAGUCAGAAUCUCAAAGACAUUUUUGUUGAAUAGUUAUAUGUGAAAAUCAUUUAUAGCAUGUAACAAUAAACGGGUGUUUGUGAUUUUUUUUUAAUUCAACUGUAUGUGUGAAUGAAUAUUGUGUGCACCCUUUAAUGAGAAAGAAAUUUGUGGUUAUGUAAGCUAAGUUUUCCUUUCCAUACUGUCAUUUUCCAUAAUGUUAUAUUUGUUUAAAUAAUGACUACUAUAAAAGCAUUUUAAGAAAUGUUCUUUUAAUGAAUUCCAGCAUUUUGGGCACUAUAAUAUAAUCUUAAGAUAUUUUUCUGACAAGUCUGAUUUUUUUCUUUUUUAUUUAUUUAAGCAAAGACAACAAGUCUGAAUUUUGAUAUUUCUCAAACAAGCUUGAAUUAUCAGCUUCAAUGAACCCUUAGGCUAUAGUUUUAUUUUUGUUUUCCUUUAUCAAUAUAUACACAAUAAACAGCUUAAACUAUUCUUUGUUCAUAUAUGCAGUAAAAAGUUACUUUUUGAAGAUGAAUUUGCCUAAAAACUAAAAAUAUGCACUCUCACUAAGUUUUAUAGCAUGGAAUGUGAAAAAAAGAUAUUUCAUGAAUAUAGCUUAUUAUAACUUUCCAAAACUAAAAGAUAACUUUAAAUAUUUUCCUGAUUCUAAAUAAAAUGUUUUAGUAUGAAAUUAAUAUAAAAACAAUUUCUGUCUUAUUGUUAUCACAAAUGAAUGAUAUAUCCAGUUUCUAAAGGCAUAACAAUUUACUGUAAAUGAUGAAAAUGAUAAAAUACCCAAAACUGUAAAAUUUAUUUUAAAAAAUAUUUUCUAUUAUUAAUUCCUCUCUGAAGAAAUAAGAUAGUAUGUACUUAAGGCAAACAGCCUUUCUAUGGUAUACAAAAGCAACAAUAUUGGAAGUUUUGAACAAUCCAAAAGUUGUAAUAUUUUUGUGUACAACUUAUAAUAAUUUGAUUAUCAAAAUAUCAGACAUAACUAAUUGUUUCUUUCCAGAUGCUAUGUUUAUCAUCAGAGGUCAAAUGAGCAAUAAUCAGUUCCCAUCUCUAAAUAUUUGCUCCGAAUUUUUGAUAAAAGACUCAUUUCAAUUUGAUUCAAGCACCUUUUGAGUGCUUAUCAUAUGCCAGAAUGAUAGAAUUAGACAAGAGACAAUAAAAGCUUAAUACAAAUCAGAAUACUUUUCAGGAAGACCCAGUAAAAGGAAAAUUUGGGAGGUUUAAAUAGCCCAGUGAAUGUACAAAAUAUUCAUAGUAUGUUUGAGUUUUGUUAUUGCAUUUCCUUCUGAUUUUUUUGUACACUAUUUCUAUAAGUUUUUAAUAGUACAGAUUGUCAAAAAAAAAACCUAUAUUAAAUAGACACUGUAAAUUUACCGUUCUAGGAGUUACAGUUUUGCAAACUGUUAAGAGCCUGGGCUUUGACUUCAGAUGUACGUGGAUUUGAACAUGACUCCACCACUGUAGGGCCUUGGACAAAUUACUUUAUCACUUCUAAUCCUUGGUUUCCUGAUCUAUACAAUGAUAAUAAUAAUUAUCAAUUUAAGUUCACCAUGAGUUUAAAUGUAAUCAUAAGUUAAAAUAAUCAAACUUCCUAGAAUGGAGGAAGUACCAAUACAAGAUAACUAUAAUUAUGGAAACAAAAUGAUAUCUUAACACAUUAUUUGAUGAAGCCAGAAUUAGAAUUCCUGCCUUUACAUAAUCUUUUAAAUAUUUUAAUUUGCUCUCAUUAAUGUCCUAUGUGGCAUAGUCUAUGAUAAAUACCUUCUCACAUUUCUAAUUGUAACCAAGUUUCAAAGGCCCCAGAAAACAUAAAAUCUUUUGUCUGCCCUGUUAUGUGACUUCAAUAUAUUUCCCAAUACAAUUUCAUGAUUCUCCCAUAAAAUGUUGUGGAUCUUCAAAAAGGAACUGAGUCUGAGAUCCCAUUUGACUGAUAUAAUAAUAAAAACACCUUAGAUUUUUAUAGUACCUUUUAUCACAAAAAGCUCAAUGCACUUUUACAUAUUUAUCAUUGUAACCUCAGGAGGUAAGGAAGGACAUAAAUUAUUUCUCAUUUUCAGGGGCACAGCUUAGGCAUUAGGAAUUUAGGUAACAUUUCUAAGGUGAAUAGAAGUAGAGAGCAGUUUCUGAAUGUUGGUCUUCCUGUAAUCUUUUAUUCUCUUUGGUACUAAUUAUGGCUAUUGUGACUUUAGACUCAGAUGUUAGUGUUUGACAUUAAAUGUAGUUUAUAAUUCAGUUAAUUAUUUGUGAAAUCAAGAUGAGUCAAAAAUAUAUCAUCACAGUCUAAUCAAAUUAAAUUUUUUAUUUUAUAUCAAGAUACAUAUUUUUCAAUUUUAUGCAUGUAUACAUUAUCUAUUCUAAUUUACCAUUCUGUGUUAAUUCUAAAGCAAGAUUUUAAAAGUUACUGAUCAUUUAUAGCAUUAAAAGAAAUCACUUCUAAUGUCCUUGUCACAUUUCCCAUACACACACACACACACACACACACAAACACACACACACACACAUAUUUGGCUACUUAUUACACAGGCUACUAGUACUUUUAGGUUGAGUUUUCUAUUUCUUAGGUUGUCUACACUUGAAAAAUCUAUCAAAAUAAAUAUUCAAAGGAAUAUAAAGGCAAUCUAUUUAAACAGAUUUUUAUAAUAGUUUUUGUUUUAAACAAAACAAUGUAGAACUAAUAAUGUUGAUAUUGUGAAACAUAGACUAUCAGAAAAAUACUAAAUCUUGCUUAUAGUUUAUAGUUUUGCAAUUUCCUCCUGGGCUUGCUUUGCUAAGGAUUGGCACAGAGGCAGCUAUAGAUGUGAACUAUCAGUAAAUAAGUGAAAUGGAAGAAGAUAAAUAUUUGUAGCCUGAUUAAAGAAUGAAUCAUAAACUGUGGAGGUCUUGCUUCACUGUAAGUCACAAUGGAACAAACUUAAUGUUUUUUUUUUUGUUGUUGUUAGUUUUGGUACUAGGAAUCGAAGUCAGGGCACUUAACCACUGAGCACAUCCCCAAAUUUUACUUUUUUAUUU